AACUCUACAGGAACAAGGAGCUGGUUGAUAAUUUAUAGCAACAUCUCAAAUUUAAAUGGAAAGUAAAUAGCAUGCUGUUAGCAUUAAAGAAAACCCAAUCGGGGCAGGCGGGAAGCACUCCAGCCUCCUUGCAAGCUUGGGGCACCUCAUUCUCUCCCGUGCCCCUUCUCCCAGCUGCGUCUGAGCCCCCGCCCCCCGGCUCCUCCGUUCCGCUUCUCCCAGCUUCUCUCUCCAUCUCCCCCGAUGGCCUCUUUCUACACUCUCUGCCUCAGCUUCCAGGUCUCUGCUGGUCCCUAGGAAGCACUUUGACCUCUGCUUCCCCUUCAAAUGCUGUGGAUCAAGGCUCCCCCAACCCCACCAUCCCACCAAAGGGGGCUGCUGACCGAGAGAGCUCACUCACUCAGGUAAGAAAGCAUCCCCUGCCCCCACCCUCACCCCAAAGCCCCCAGUCCCAUCUGGGGCCCUGGGCAGGUCUGGCCCAGCCCCACCCCGUCGAGUUGCCUUCGCCCUGGGUCUGGGAUGCCUGACUCUUUGCCCCUCCCCUGCAGCUCUAGAGUCCUUUGCCCUCCUCUUCCUGCCAAGUCAGGGGGCCCUGACUGCUCCCCUGCCCCCUGUCCAGGCCCUCGGGAGGCUCCCUGAGACCUCUGGGAAGCAGGAAUCCACCAGCCCUCCCCCACCCUAGCUGGGAUCAGGACCUUGGACAGAAAAGAGAUGGGCCCCUUCAGAGCAUCUUUGGGACUCGCUGUCUCUCUGACUCCCUGGCCACCCCCUGCAGGCCUCUGGCCCCUCAUCAUAGCAAUUGAGAGCAGCAAACAGAGUAGGUUUGGGGCCUCCGUUGGGUGAACUUAGUCCAGCUCCUUCCCCGCUCUAAGCCCCGGUUUCCCCAUUUGUGAAGCAGAGUCACUCAUAGCUUCUGCCCAGGAUUUCUCUCACCAUGAAGGGAAAUUAUUCCCGUGAAACCUCAGCACAGCGCCCAGGAAGUAGUGAACCUCCCCAAGCAGGUGCUGUAGGGUGAAGGUCAGGGAGCCCCUGGGGAGGGGUGGCCCCUGCAGCCCCCAGGCCACCCUUCCUUCUCCCCUACACCCCCAUCCCCCACCCCCACUAGGUGGGAGGUGGGUUGGCCCAGAUCUUUCCAGGCCACCAUUUCCACAAGUUAAUGAUCACAGACCUUAUCAGAGCCUUUCGCCGUUUAUAAAUUUAUAAAACAAAAGAGAAAUAAUAAAGCAUGUGGGUAAUUAGUAACUAGGUCAGCUCUGCUGAGGAGAGGGGAGGCAUCGAGCUCAGGACCCACCCAGUUCUCCAGGAGACGGGGAGUCCGCCAGUGGAUGGGAAUGUAGAACGGGGAGCCUCUAAUGGCGCCUGCCGGUGAGGUGGGGUGCCUGUGGCCACACAGGAAAGGGGAGCAGCUCCCACCUCGAGGCUCUGUCUGCCUCAGAUGUCCCACCGAUGGCCGAGUGCCAGUUAGUCACGGCCUCAGUGCAAGACCUCAUCCCUCCCAGAAAGCCGUGGCUCCGGACUCCACCCACUGAAAACAGGGCUUCUGUGGGACUGCAACGGGACAUGAAGAAAAACAUGCUGAACCUGGUCUCCAUGGGACCUGAGGUGCGAGUCACAUUCAUUCACAUCCCUGGCUUGGAGCCUCUCCACUCACAAGUUAUUGAUAAUUGAAAAAAUAAAACAACAUGCGAUUGUAUU
Non-coding RNA from Chlorocebus sabaeus (green monkey), 1695 nucleotides. NCBI's taxonomy places the organism in Eukaryota, Metazoa, Chordata, Mammalia, Primates, Cercopithecidae. The record is from RefSeq and is a predicted model, not a curated record.